RNAcentral lists this ribosomal RNA (459 nucleotides) under uncultured bacterium. Its description in RNAcentral is "partial 16S ribosomal RNA". It matches the Rfam family "Bacterial small subunit ribosomal RNA", at positions 338 to 795 of the family's 1533-position model. The record is from RNAcentral.
CCUACGGGAGGCUGCAGUGAGGAAUAUUGGUCAAUGGACGAGAGUCUGAACCAGCCAAGUAGCGUGAAGGAUGACUGCCCUAUGGGUUGUAAACUUCUUUUAUAUGGGAAUAAAACGUUCCACGUGUGGGCUUUUGUAUGUACCAUAUGAAUAAGGAUCGGCUAACUCCGUGCCAGCAGCCGCGGUAAUACGGAGGAUGCGAGCGUUAUCCGGAUUUAUUGGGUUUAAAGGGUGCGUAGGCGGAAUGCCAAGUCAGCGGUAAAAUCGCGGGGCUCAACCUCGCUCCGCCGUUGAAACUGGCGUUCUUGAGUGGGCGAGAAGUAUGCGGAAUGCGUGGUGUAGCGGUGAAAUGCAUAGAUAUCACGCAGAACUCCGAUUGCGAAGGCAGCAUACCGGCGCCCAACUGACGCUGAAGCACGAAAGCGUGGGUAUCGAACAGGAUUAGAUACCCGGGUAGUC